UACGUAGGGUGCGAGCGUUAAUCGGAAUGACUGGGCGUAAAGCGCGCGUAGGCGGAUCAGGAAGUUGGGGGUGAAAUCCCGGGGCUCAACCCCGGAAUGGCCUUCAAAACUCCUGGUCUUGAGUUCGAGAGAGGUGAGUGGAAUUCCGAGUGUAGAGGUGAAAUUCGUAGAUAUUCGGAGGAACACCAGUGGCGAAGGCGGCUCACUGGCUCGACACUGACGCUGAGGUGCGAAAGCGUGGGGAGCAAACAGG
This 253-nucleotide ribosomal RNA is filed under the name uncultured bacterium. RNAcentral's name for it is "partial 16S ribosomal RNA". It matches the Rfam family "Bacterial small subunit ribosomal RNA", at positions 524 to 776 of the family's 1533-position model. The record is from RNAcentral.